Molecule: transfer RNA, 73 nt
Filed under: Ochrobactrum sp. BH3
Lineage: Bacteria; Pseudomonadati; Pseudomonadota; Alphaproteobacteria; Hyphomicrobiales; Brucellaceae
Description: tRNA-Thr
Rfam family: tRNA
About the family: Transfer RNA (tRNA) molecules are approximately 80 nucleotides in length. Their secondary structure includes four short double-helical elements and three loops (D, anti-codon, and T loops). Further hydrogen bonds mediate the characteristic L-shaped molecular structure. tRNAs have two regions of fundamental functional importance: the anti-codon, which is responsible for specific mRNA codon recognition, and the 3' end, to which the tRNAs corresponding amino acid is attached (by aminoacyl-tRNA synthetases). tRNAs cope with the degeneracy of the genetic code in two manners: having more than one tRNA (with a specific anti-codon) for a particular amino acid; and 'wobble' base-pairing, i.e. permitting non-standard base-pairing at the 3rd anti-codon position.
Source: RNAcentral
GCCCUUGUAGCUCAGUUGGGAGAGCGGCUGCCUUGUAAGCAGAUGGUCCGGGGUUCUAUUCCUCGCGAGGGCA